CCUACGGGAGGCAGCAGUGGGGAAUUUUGGACAAUGGGCGAAAGCCUGAUCCAGCAAUGCCGCGUGAGUGAAGAAGGCCUUCGGGUUGUAAAGCUCUUUUGUCAGGGAAGAAACGGUGAGAGCUAAUAUCUUUUGCUAAUGACGGUACCUGAAGAAUAAGCACCGGCUAACUACGUGCCAGCAGCCGCGGUAAUACGUAGGGUGCAAGCGUUAAUCGGAAUUACUGGGCGUAAAGCGUGCGCAGGCGGUUUUGUAAGUCUGAUGUGAAAUCCCCGGGCUCAACCUGGGAAUUGCAUUGGAGACUGCAAGGCUAGAAUCUGGCAGAGGGGGGUAGAAUUCCACGUGUAGCAGUGAAAUGCGUAGAUAUGUGGAGGAACACCGAUGGCGAAGGCAGCCCCCUGGGUCAAGAUUGACGCUCAUGCACGAAAGCGUGGGGAGCAAACGGGAUUAGAUACCCUGGUAGUCCACGCCCUAAACGAUGUCUACUAGUUGUCGGGUCUUAAUUGACUUGGUAACGCAGCUAACGCGUGAAGUAGACCGCCUGGGGAGUACGGUCGCAAGAUUAAAACUCAAAGGAAUUGACGGCUGAGACGNGACGAGACGACGACGAGGGAGGAGG
This 619-nucleotide ribosomal RNA is filed under the name uncultured bacterium. RNAcentral describes it as "bacterial SSU rRNA". It matches the Rfam family "Bacterial small subunit ribosomal RNA", at positions 338 to 947 of the family's 1533-position model. The record is from RNAcentral.